ACAUGGAGCUUCUCAAGGUCCCCUCUUCUUCCUCCCCGCAUCUCUCUCUCCGUUGGAUGCGAUUCGGCAGGCGUGGUUCCCUGCCUGAUUUGGUGUCCUCACGCAUGUAGGUGACAGCCAUGUGGUGCGCGCGCGGAUUCUUCCUCAACUUCGGCGCCUUCCGCCCUCCCCCUUUGCUGGCCAGGCCGAUUGAUUCUUCAUGGAGAUGCAGGUCGAGCAGCAGAUGUUUCCGCCUCCGUUCAUGGUCAGAACACUCUUUCCUUUCUUCUUCUCUCUCAUCCAUCUCCUGGAUUCAACCUAUCUAUCUAUCCAUGCUAGUUAAUCAAAGGACUUUCUGGAUUCUGAAUCAGUAACAGGGGUAGCUAGAUGGAUCAUGUAUGAGGAUGGAUCAGAACGGGAUGAUGGUGGUGAAGAUGAUGGUGAAGCAUCAGAGGAUGAUGGUGCCCGGUAUGAUUUAUAGUUUAUACACAUACUGCACUAUUGAUUAAAGGUUGUAACCUCACUGUCACGCCAAUGGACGCAAAAAAGAAGAGUGGUAGUACUAUCAAUGGUUCACUCAGCGCCUCAACAACGUCUGCACUACUUCUAAUAUUGUUUUUCAGUAGCUUUUUGAUGCACCUUUUUCUUUCAGUUCUUAGUGCUGCUGCCCUAACCUAUAGCCACUUGUCCUGUCUUGAGCGUCAUCACGAUGUGUCGGAGUAUCUAUGCUAUACAUCUGUGCUAUGUCUCCCAUGUUUACAUUCAGUUAGCAUUGUUAAGCAGUGUGAAUGGCACUGGUUGCAAAUAUAAAUGCUAAUUACUUCCUAAGAUGUUAAUGUGUAGGAUGAAUGCUAUUAGAGAAUCAGUGCAGCAAUCAAAAGCAAUCUAGUAUUUUUGCUAAGAAAACAGUGCCACCAAGAAGUUCUUAGUGGGACUAUAACUAUUAGUUGUUGGAUUGGUUCGUUUGGAUCCUUGCUUGGGUUAAUAGUUUGUUAUUCGCUGCUCUGUUUGCAAUUUGGGUUUAACUCUGACACAUAAUUUGUUGUGGCACCUGCUUCCUCCUUGUCUUUGUUGUGUGAAGAUGUUCUUUUUAUCAGGGAUAAUUGUGCAGUCGUUCAGGUUGGUUUUCAGCACGGUUCUAUAAAGAAGUUGGCACUUUGGUUAUACAUGUUUUUUUAGAAUCACUUUGGUUAUAUAUGUUGGGGGGUAUUGGUAGGGUAUUUUGUUGCCUAUUCUAAGGCUGUAUAGAUGUUCUUGUCUGUGGGUUAAUUGCUCUCGCUGUUGGCGUUCUACACUGCUUGUGCUAAGAUCUGAAGGUGAUGAACAUGUAUGUUUAUCUCAUGUUCGGAAACAAGGACCGACUUGAAUAUCUGGACUAGACUAGUGGAUGCCAGCAACUCAUCUGAAACUCUUCUUGAAGUUCAAUGUUUUUUUGGAAAUGAUUGCACAAUAUUACCCCCCCCCCCCACCAGGCGUUAUUUGGUAGUAACUUCUUUAGUUACACAUUUGAGAUGCAUUUUUUGUUGUUGUUGAAACGAUGGCAUAAGCUUUGCAUCAUCCAUUAAGUAAGAGAGGAGAAAAGAGUUUGUUACACACAUCUAUUACUACUACGUAAGGUUGUUAUUGUCCUGGCAUGAUAUUACCCAAAUUUUUCACACCCGCAAUAACCAGUGUUUUGCUUCCCUCUUGAUGGAGCCGUUUGAACCUGUAGACACUUUGGUUAUCCAACGUUUUCUGCACCCGUAGCCACUUGAACCGAUGAGAAUUCUUCAAGCCUACCUAUAGCCACUUGAAUAGAUGUCUAUCUCAGAUCUGCUCAUCUAAAAAAAUCCAAGUGGAGUAGUAUACUGGUAGUAUAGUAUAAUAAUAUUGUCAAAAGGUAAAUGCCCUGAUUAGUUAGCUCUGUCAGAUAAAUACUCGUCGAAAGUGGGCUCUUAUCAAAAUUCAUUUCGAUUAUAAUCUUACUCAUACAAUACACACCAUGUAAUUCUGGAAAUAUAUGCUCAUAUCUAGUUGUUCAUAAAAAAUGACAGUAUUGACAUGUUAUAAAUAGUUUUUUUGUAUUUCUGUUUAUUUUGUUACAUUUUGCAGGGAUAAAGUGAAGAAAAAGAAGAAAAGAUUACUAGAAGAUUAGUUUUAGGAUUUUCUUUUAUUUCCUUGCAAUUUUCCUUUUAUUGGAUACUUGUAAAGACAUUGUAAAAUUCUUACUAUAAUAAAAAUAUGAUUCUAUUUCAUUUUUUGUUUUUAAAUUAUUUUCC
This 2237-nucleotide long non-coding RNA is filed under the name Triticum aestivum (bread wheat). RNAcentral's name for it is "long non-coding RNA (TAES_LNC026441)". The record is from RNAcentral. Lineage: Eukaryota; Viridiplantae; Streptophyta; Magnoliopsida; Poales; Poaceae.